GUAGAGCUCGAAGCCGACCUCCUUGAUGUGACCGGACUGCUCCUCGCCGAGCAGGUUGCCCGCUCCGCGGAUGUCGAGGUCG
RNAcentral lists this small RNA (82 nucleotides) under Sinorhizobium meliloti 2011. Its description in RNAcentral is "putative ncRNA". Lineage: Bacteria; Pseudomonadati; Pseudomonadota; Alphaproteobacteria; Hyphomicrobiales; Rhizobiaceae. The record is from RNAcentral.